UACGUAGGGUGCGAGCGUUGCCCGGAAUUAUUGGGCGUAAAGAGCUCGUAGGCGGUUUGUUGCGUCUAUCGUGAAAACCUGCAGCUUAACUGUGGGCUUGCGGUGGAUACGGGCAGACUUGAGUUCGGUAGGGGAGACUGGAAUUCCUGGUGUAGCGGUGAAAUGCGCAGAUAUCAGGAGGAACACCGGUGGCGAAGGCGGGUCUCUGGGCCGAUACUGACGCUGAGGAGCGAAAGCGUGGGGAGCGAACAGG
RNAcentral lists this ribosomal RNA (253 nucleotides) under uncultured bacterium. RNAcentral's name for it is "partial 16S ribosomal RNA". It matches the Rfam family "Bacterial small subunit ribosomal RNA", at positions 524 to 776 of the family's 1533-position model. The record is from RNAcentral.